AUUGAACGCUGGCGGCAUGCCUUACACAUGCAAGUCGAACGGUAACAGGUCUUCGGAUGCUGACGAGUGGCGAACGGGUGAGUAAUACAUCGGAACGUGCCCAGACGUGGGGGAUAACGAGGCGAAAGCUUUGCUAAUACCGCAUACGAUCUAAGGAUGAAAGCAGGGGACCGCAAGGCCUUGUGCGUUUGGAGCGGCCGAUGGCAGAUUAGGUAGUUGGUGGGAUAAAAGCUUACCAAGCCGACGAUCUGUAGCUGGUCUGAGAGGACGACCAGCCACACUGGGACUGAGACACGGCCCAGACUCCUACGGGAGGCAGCAGUGGGGAAUUUUGGACAAUGGGCGAAAGCCUGAUCCAGCAAUGCCGCGUGCAGGAUGAAGGCCUUCGGGUUGUAAACUGCUUUUGUACGGAACGAAAAGGCUCUGGCUAAUACCUGGGGCACAUGUCGGUACCGUAAGAAUAAGCACCGGCUAACUACGUG
This 482-nucleotide ribosomal RNA is filed under the name uncultured bacterium. RNAcentral describes it as "partial 16S ribosomal RNA". It matches the Rfam family "Bacterial small subunit ribosomal RNA", at positions 30 to 507 of the family's 1533-position model. The record is from RNAcentral.